Molecule: ribosomal RNA, 477 nt
Filed under: uncultured bacterium
Lineage: Bacteria
Description: bacterial SSU rRNA
Rfam family: Bacterial small subunit ribosomal RNA
Source: RNAcentral
UUGUCACACUCCUACGGGAGGCAGCAGUGGGGGAAUAUUGCACAAUGGGCGAAAGCCUGAUGCAGCCAUGCCGCGUGUGUGAAGAAGGCCUUCGGGUUGUAAAGCACUUUCAGCGAGGAGGAAAGGUUGACGGUUAAUACCCGUCAGCUGUGACGUUACUCGCAGAAGAAGCACCGGCUAACUCCGUGCCAGCAGCCGCGGUAAUACGGAGGGUGCGAGCGUUAAUCGGAAUUACUGGGCGUAAAGCGCAUGCAGGCGGCCAAGUCAGUCAGAUGUGAAAGCCCCCGGGCUUAACCUGGGAAUUGCAUUUGAAACUGCUUGGCUAGAGUCCUUGAGAGGGGGUAGAAUUUCAGGUGUAGCGGUGAAAUGCGUAGAGAUCUGAAGGAAUACCAGUGGCGAAGGCGGCCCCCUGGCAAGAGACUGACGCUCACGAUUGCGAAAGCGUGGGGACGCAAACAGGAUUAGAUACCCUGGUAG